AAGGCCUUGGGUUUGAUCCCCAGUACCAGAAAAACAGAAAAACUUUUUUAUAAAAAUAUUUAUCAACUCAUUUCAUAGCAUCUAUCCAAAUUGUUAGUAUAAUCACAAACUGUUUUUCUAGUGCAAUACUAAUUGUAUUCAUCAUUUAACUAUGUUCCAUAAAUAAGUAGAAUGCUAUUUUAGAACCCAUUAUUCUCAUCUCCCCAUAUAUUCUUUAUGCUAUCAGAUUUGCCUGUGACACUGCUGUCAUAGUAUCAACACUGAUUACAAAAAAAUUGAUUACAUAUUUCUUCCUGUCUGCUCUAUUGUAGCUUUUUAUUAUUUCUUGUCUAGAGAAAUUUACAUUUCUUCUCAUCUCUCCAGUACCUCACCACUCAAUAACUCUAGGUCAGAAUUUAAAUUGCUUAUUUUCUUACAGGUAUCAAAAAACUAAUAUUUUCUCUUAUCAUUCUACUGUUAUUAAACAUGUUCUUUUUUAUAUAUUGCUUAAAAAAAAAAAAGUGUUGUAUCUUGUCUCUCCACCAUACCCCCCUUUAUUUGGCAGUUCUGGGAUUGAAUUCAGGUCCCUGUGCAUGCUGUAUCUUUUCUUAAUUAUAAGGGUAAAAACAUUCACUGUAGAAAUUUUGAAAAUAAGCAAAGAGGAAAAUAAGAACUUUUAGAGGAAAACAAAGAUAAUUUAUGACAUCUUUCUUAAUUAUUCACUAUAAGCAUUUUAAAAAAUUUCUCUCCAAGCUGGUCUCGGUAGUGCAUACCUGUAAUUCCAGCUGCUAGGGAGGCUGAGGAUCACAAGUUCAAGGCCAGUCUUGUCAGCUUAGCUUGCUGUAUCAAAAUGAAAAAUAAAAAGGGCUAGUGAUGUAGCUCGGUGUUUUUUUAAAAAAUUUGUUUUGUUCUCCAGACUAUUUUUAAUGAUUAAGUGGACUUUAGGGUUAGGAGUGUUGCUCAGAGGUUGAGCGAGUUUGUAGCACACACGGUCCUGGGUUCUAUCCCUGUCACUCCAAACAAUCAAAUUUACAAGUCUGUAUUAUUAGAGUAAUUUAAAAACCAGCAAUAAAACACUGUAUUAAAGAAUUUUGUAUAACUCCUGGGCACAUUAUUUAUUUAUUUACACUGCAAAAAGGUCAUCUAUUUACAUAAGAGUGAUUUCAAGACAUUAUGAUUUUCUUUAUAAACAGAUGUAAGAACAGAAAUUGUCCACUUUUGAAACUACAUUUCAACCCUCCACUAUUAUUAUAAUCCACUGAAUAGCCUGUAUUGAGGCAGUUCUCCCCACCCCCAUUUGAUUUUCAAAUGAAUUUCCAUCAUUUCUUCUUCAUCUGUGGCCCUGGCUUUUUUUAUUCUUUUCUUUGGAAAUUUUUCUAGAAUUAUUCAAAAAUAGGAAUAGUUUUAAAUUUCAUAUUAUGCAUUAUAAAAUUACCUUUUCAGAAAGAUUUUACCAAUGUAUGGACUUUUACCAGAAAUAUGAAUGUCUAUUUUGCUGGGUUUUUGGCCCAUAGUGUUUGUUAACAUUCUUUUCAUCUUUGCCAAUUUUGUUUUAGCUUUUAUUCCUUUGAUUCCUGAAUGAUGUAUUUUUUCCUACUUUAAAAUUUUUUUUGUAUAUGUAGAUGGACAGAAUGCCUUUAUUUUAUUUAUUUUUAUGUGGUACUAAGGAUCAAACCCAGAGCCUCACACAUGCAUAGUCAAGUGCUCUGCCACCGAGCUACAGCCCCAGCCCCUAUUUUUUCC
RNAcentral lists this long non-coding RNA (1722 nucleotides) under Marmota monax (woodchuck). The record is from RNAcentral. Lineage: Eukaryota; Metazoa; Chordata; Mammalia; Rodentia; Sciuridae.